Molecule: non-coding RNA, 1478 nt
Organism: Salmo salar (Atlantic salmon)
Lineage: Eukaryota; Metazoa; Chordata; Actinopteri; Salmoniformes; Salmonidae
Source: RefSeq, a predicted model, not a curated record
GCAAGAUCGGUUCUUAUUUGUAACAAUUAUAGAAUUGAUGGUUGCAACAGAGCAAGAGUGACGCAAAUGGUCAAGUAGCCUAUCCUUGCCAAUUUACUGCCAUUAAAUCAGCUGACAAACAAAUACCUGUAUCAUUUCCCCACAAGUCACAAAACGCUACAAAACCAAACGUAGGAAAUGUUGCACAAAACACUAUUGUAGGAUAUGAGAGCACAAAUCGCAGUUCCACAUGCACACUUGCGCAUACAUGUUGGCGCCGCUUGAGAUUCCUCCAAGCCAGUGAACUUUUGACCCAGUACAAAGCUCCAGAAAUAACUCGGGACUUUUGGUGUCCACGGAUUUCCAUCCAGUUGAGUUUGAGGGCGUGCUGCAGCACCCUCAGCACCCUCAGCACCCUCAGCACCUUCAGCACCCUCAGCACCCUCAGCACCCUCAGCACCUUCAGCACCCUCAGCACCCUCAGCACCCUCAGCACCCUCAGCACCUUCAGCACCUUCAGCACCCCUUCUUCACGUGGCUAUGCCUCAGUGGGAGAAAAUAAAAACUCAAAUAGAGGUUAUUACUUUUUGAAAUCCAGCCUCUCUGAUACACAGAAGAACAGUUUUAGUAAAGAGGGAGAAAGAAAAGGGGUGGGUGGCAGGAGAGUGACGCUGGGACAGAAGAAGAUGAGGGAGAGAACUGUGACAGGAAAAUCUCAGUUGCAUACUCCAGUCCUUUCUCCUCAUCUCCUUUUCAAUACCCACUGGAUAAGAAAGCCAGAGGUCCCUCCCCUCUGACCUUCUCCUCCAAUGGGUUUUGAGAAGGAGACGAGGAGCGAGGACGUGGGAGAAUGCAAUUGAGAUCUUUCCAGUGAGACAGGGAUAGAAGAGAGGGGUAGGAAAAGGAGAAAAACAUCCACCCUGAUGUUUUUCAGAGGGCUUUGCUCCUGUGAUAUGACUUAGUUGUAUGGUGUUGUUGGAUUCUGGGUAAACUCUGAUCAUUGGUAUACACAAACAUAGUAUAUAAAGGAAGAGACUGGUUUAUAUGUCAGCAGUAAAUGGUUCUGUAGAAAGACAGAGUGGCUGUGGAAUGUGCUGGGUGGACGGGAGGACGUCACAGGAUUGCUAUAGGUGAAGAGGAUGGACAUCUGUGGAUUAGGCGAAGGAGGGGUUGAGGUCAGGUCAGAUCCCCUGAAGGGAGAAAUUAUGGUUCAUUACUCUAUUAUCCUCUUCCUGUAGAACCACAAGAUGUAAGGAUUGGAGAGAAGGAGGAGUGUCUAAAGUGGAGUAUAUAUAUUUGUAGUGGUGUGAACAUGUCUUUAUCUGAAUACAGCUGUGUCGACCCUUUGGGGAGAAUUCAACUUGGUUCAGCUUCUCUAGUGUCCGUGAGUUAUUUACUCUGAAAAAUUAGAACCUAAGUUUAUAAUCUCUGUUAUUGGAAAAACACUGCAAGCACAACGCGGAUUAUUGGCUGCGUGUGUGUGUUUCCAAUUUCACACU